CAAAGUGUAGCUUAAUAAAAGCACCUCGCUUACACCGAGACGAUGCCUCUUUAAAAGGGUCACUUUGA
Molecule: transfer RNA, 68 nt
Filed under: Occidozyga lima
Lineage: Eukaryota; Metazoa; Chordata; Amphibia; Anura; Dicroglossidae
Description: tRNA-Val
Rfam family: tRNA
About the family: Transfer RNA (tRNA) molecules are approximately 80 nucleotides in length. Their secondary structure includes four short double-helical elements and three loops (D, anti-codon, and T loops). Further hydrogen bonds mediate the characteristic L-shaped molecular structure. tRNAs have two regions of fundamental functional importance: the anti-codon, which is responsible for specific mRNA codon recognition, and the 3' end, to which the tRNAs corresponding amino acid is attached (by aminoacyl-tRNA synthetases). tRNAs cope with the degeneracy of the genetic code in two manners: having more than one tRNA (with a specific anti-codon) for a particular amino acid; and 'wobble' base-pairing, i.e. permitting non-standard base-pairing at the 3rd anti-codon position.
Source: RNAcentral